ACACCUUACAUCAUUCGCCUUGCCAUGUCUGCUGCCAUUGGAGGUCUUCUCUUUGGUUAUGACACUGGUGUUAUUUCUGGAGCUCUGCUGUAUAUCAAGGAAGAUUUCAAAGCUGUUCAGGACUAAACAUGGCUUCAGGAAACAAUUGUGAGUGCGAUUGUGGGAUAUGCAUUCGAGGGGUGGAUGACUGAUAA
Molecule: long non-coding RNA, 194 nt
Organism: Ipomoea nil (Japanese morning glory)
Lineage: Eukaryota; Viridiplantae; Streptophyta; Magnoliopsida; Solanales; Convolvulaceae
Exons: 3
Source: RefSeq, a predicted model, not a curated record